CGUCUAGGCGGUUUGGUAAGUGGGAUGUGAAAUGCCCGGGCUCACCCCGGGACCUGCAUCCCAAACUGCUGAGCUUGAGUACAGGAGAGGGUGGGGGAAUUCCAGGUGUAGCGGUGAAAUGCGUAGAUAUCUGGAGGAACACCGGUGGCGAAGGCGCCCACCUGGCCUAUUACUGACGCUGAAGCGCGAAAGCUAGGGGAAGGCAAACG
RNAcentral lists this ribosomal RNA (209 nucleotides) under uncultured bacterium. Its description in RNAcentral is "partial 16S ribosomal RNA". It matches the Rfam family "Bacterial small subunit ribosomal RNA", at positions 568 to 774 of the family's 1533-position model. The record is from RNAcentral.